RNAcentral lists this ribosomal RNA (1376 nucleotides) under uncultured bacterium. RNAcentral's name for it is "16S ribosomal RNA". It matches the Rfam family "Bacterial small subunit ribosomal RNA". The record is from RNAcentral.
UUCGCCCUUAGAGUUUGAUUCUGGCUCAGGACGAACGCUGGCGGCGUGCCUAACACAUGCAAGUCGAACGGAGAAACAACUGUAGCAAUAUGGAUGUUUCUUAGUGGCGGACGGGUGAGUAACGCGUGAGCAACCUGCCUUUCAGAGGGGGACAACAGCUGGAAACGGCUGCUAAUACCGCAUAUUGUACAACAUGGGCAUCCAUGAAGUAUGAAAGAUUUAUCGCUGAAAGAUGGGCUCGCGUCUGAUUAGCUAGUUGGUGGGGUAACGGCCCACCAAGGCGACGAUCAGUAGCCGGACUGAGAGGUUGAUCGGCCACAUUGGGACUGAGAUACGGCCCAGACUCCUACGGGAGGCAGCAGUGGGGAAUAUUGGGCAAUGGGCGAAAGCCUUACCCAGCAAUGCCGCGCGUAUGAAGAAGGUCUUCGGAUUGUAAAGUACUAUAUUGGGGAAGAACACAAUGACGGUACCCAAGAGAAAAAGCCCCGGCUAACUAUGUGCCAGCAGCCGCGGUAAUACAUAGGGGGCUAGCUUUGUUCGGAAUUACUGGGCGUAAAGGGUGCGUAGGUGGCAAUGUAUGUUGGAAGUGUAAUCCCUCGGGCUUAACUCAGGGGCUGCUUCCAAAACUGCAUUACUUGAGUGUCGGAGAGGAAAACGGAAUUCCUAGUGUAGCGGUGAAAUGCUCAGAUAUUAGGAGGAACACCAGAGGCGAAGGCGGUUUUCUGGACGACAACUGACGCUGAGGCACGAAAGCGUGGGGAGCGAUUGAGAUUAGAUACCCCAGUAGUCCACGCCGUAAAUGAUGGGUAAAAGAUGUUGGGAGUAUCAACUCUUCCAGUGUCGUAGCAAACGCGAUAAGUACCCCGCCUGGGGAGUACGGCCGCAAGGUUGAAACUCAAAGGAAUAGACGGGGACCCGCACAAGCAGCGGAGCAUGUGGUUUAAUUCGAGGCAACGCGAAAAACCUUACCAAGACUUGACAUCGCAUGAUCGCCAUAGAAAUAUGGUUUCUCUUCUGAGCAUGCAGACAGAUGGUGCAUGGUUGUCGUCAGCUCGUGUCGUGAGAUGUUGGGUUAAGUCCCAAAACGAGCGCAACCCCCGUUGUUAGUUGCCAAUAUUAAGUUAGGAACUCUAGCGAGACUGCCGCGGUAACGUGGAGGAAGGAAGGGACGACGUCAAAUCAUCAUGCCUCUUACGUCUUGGGCUACACACGUGCUACAAUGGCCAUAACAAAGAGCAGCAAUAUAGCGAUAUUGAGCAAAUCUCAUAAAAAUGGUCUCAGUUCGGAUUGUAGGCUGCAACUCGCCUACAUGAAGUCGGAGUUGCUAGUAAUCCCGAAUCAGAACGUCGGGGUGAAAAAGGUCCCGGGUCUUGUAC